GAUGAACGCUGGCGGCGUGCCUAAUACAUGCAAGUCGAGCGAACGGACGAGAAGCUUGCUUCUCUGAUUUUAUCGGCGGACGGGUGAUUAACACGUGGAUAACCUACCUAUAAGACUGGGAUAACUUCGGGAAACCGGAGCUAAUACCGGAUAAUAUUUUGAACCGCAUGGUUCAAAAGUGAAAGACGGUCUUGCUGUCACUUAUAGAUGGAUCCGCGCUGCAUUAGCUAGUUGGUAAGGUAACGGCUUACCAAGGCAACGAUGCAUAGCCGACCUGAGAGGGUGAUCGGACACACUGGAACUGAGACACGGUAAAGACUCCUACGGGAGGCAGCAGUAGGGAAUCUUACGCGAUGGGGGAAAGGCGGACGGAGCAACGCCGCGUGAGUGAUGAAGGUCUUAGGAUCGGAAAACGAUGUUAUUAGGGAAGAACAAAUGUGUAAGUAACUGUGCACAUAUUGACGGUACCUAAUCAGAAAGCCACGGCUAACUACGUG
Molecule: ribosomal RNA, 497 nt
Filed under: uncultured bacterium
Lineage: Bacteria
Description: partial 16S ribosomal RNA
Rfam family: Bacterial small subunit ribosomal RNA
Source: RNAcentral